This 123-nucleotide ribosomal RNA is filed under the name uncultured Craterellus. RNAcentral's name for it is "partial 28S ribosomal RNA". The record is from RNAcentral. Lineage: Eukaryota; Fungi; Basidiomycota; Agaricomycetes; Cantharellales; Hydnaceae.
AUGACCUCAAAUCAGAUGAGACUACCCGCUGAACUUAAGCAUAUCUCCGAGUUGUAAAUUGAAGAGAGUGUCAUCCACACUGGACCAUGUCUAAAUUGUAAUGAUCCACAGUCCUUUGAUGAG